RNAcentral lists this transfer RNA (73 nucleotides) under Fasciola gigantica. It matches the Rfam family "tRNA". From Rfam's summary of the family: Transfer RNA (tRNA) molecules are approximately 80 nucleotides in length. Their secondary structure includes four short double-helical elements and three loops (D, anti-codon, and T loops). Lineage: Eukaryota; Metazoa; Platyhelminthes; Trematoda; Plagiorchiida; Fasciolidae. The record is from Rfam by way of RNAcentral.
ACCGAGAUAGCUCAGCUGGUAGAGCACCUGCCUGAUAUGCAGGGGGUCGCUGGUUCAAUUACGGCUCGCGGUG